This 440-nucleotide ribosomal RNA is filed under the name uncultured bacterium. Its description in RNAcentral is "partial 16S ribosomal RNA". It matches the Rfam family "Bacterial small subunit ribosomal RNA", at positions 339 to 795 of the family's 1533-position model. The record is from RNAcentral.
CUACGGGGGGCAGCAGUGAGGAAUAUUGCACAAUGGGGGGAACCCUGAUGCAGCAACGCCGCGUGGAGGACGACGCAUUUCGGUGUGUAAACUCCUUUUAUAUGUCAAGAAAAUGACGGUAGCAUAUGAAUAAGCACCGGCUAACUCCGUGCCAGCAGCCGCGGUGAAUACGGAGGGUGCAAGCGUUACUCGGAAUCACUGGGCGUAAAGGACGCGUAGGCGGGUUGGAAAGUCAGGUGUGAAAUCCUACAGCUUAACUGUAGAACUGCACUUGAAACUUCUAAUCUAGAGUAUGGGAGGGGGAGAUGGAAUUAGUGGUGUAGGGGUAAAAUCCGUAGAUAUCACUAGGAAUACCUAAAGCGAAGGCGAUCUCCUGGAACAUUACUGACGCUAAGGCGUGAAAGCGUGGGGAGCAAACAGGAUUAGAUACCCCCGUAGUC